Molecule: non-coding RNA, 234 nt
Organism: Pelobates cultripes (western spadefoot toad)
Lineage: Eukaryota; Metazoa; Chordata; Amphibia; Anura; Pelobatidae
Source: the annotation of a GenBank genome assembly
AGUUCAGGCUGGUAUUGAGCUGGUUUGGUAGUAAGCAGGAUUGAGGAGUAGCCCAGGCUGGUAUUGAGCAGGGUUGGUAGUAAGCAGGAUUGAGGAGUAGUUCAGGCUGGUAUUGAGCAGGGUUGGUAGUAAGCAGGAUUGAGGAGUAGUUCAGGCUGGUAUUGAGCAGGGUUGGUAGUAAGCAGGAUUGAGGAGUAGUUCAGGCUGGCAUUGAGCAGGGUUGGUAGUAAGCAG